CGAAAUAAGGACUAGCUCUAGAACUGUAUCUCCCUUCUCCCCUACCUCUCUCCUUUCUCCUUUACUGUCCUUCUUCCAGCCUUUCCUAUCAGGUUAGUUUUCAAUUUGUGUGCCACAGGAGUAAACAGUAAAUCUAUUCUAAUUACUUAGCCACACUGCUAUAAUUUGUUUUUCAUCUUCCAGGGAGUGUAACGAGGUUUGAAUUAACUCAGCUUGUAUCUUCAGGAGAUGACCUUGCAUUUUAUGAAGAGAAUACUCGAGAUUUUCUGUUCCCAGAGCCUAAGCUGACUCCUGCAUAUCCUGGUGUGGACAGAGAAUUGUUAAUGAAAACAUCUUCUCAUUUCCCAGGAAUAGCGCCAAAAAUAGAGUUCUCCACAAGAACAACCAUUACAGAGCUUCCACUUCAGCGCAGAGAGAAGAAUUAUGCCCAAAACAGAACAAGGAAUCAAAGAUCUGGAUCUGCAUCACCCAAACGAAGGAGCAGGUCAUUAACACAAUGCAAGACAUCAGUGAAAAGGGUGGACAGUUCCAAAUCAUUCAGUGAAGUAACCUCACCAUUGCCUUACUGUAAUGUGAAGAAAAGUGUGAGAUCAGCAAGAGAUUCUCCCAAAUUUCAUGUGAAACGAACUUUAACUUUUGAUAACUGCGAAACAUCAAAUACCUCAGUUAAGAUUGUCAGGGAACCAGCUGAACAGGCUGCUUCUGAACAUGAUUCAUCAUCUCUUGAAACAGAUGAACUUUUCAGUUACCCACAGUGUUCUCCCAGUUGGAGGCAUUUAGCUUUUCACCAUGCAGCUUCACCUGCAACCUCCCAACGCCUGAAGUCACCAAGUCCUGUUCGAAGUCCCUCUCCUCUUCAAUACAGGUUACAAAUUCAUAAUCAAAAUCAAUUACUUGAACAACAUUGUGCUGUGAGAGUACAAGUUGAAUGACCAGAAGAAUUCACAUUCUGUCUUUUUGGGCAAAUUGAAUUUAUGAUUAUCAGAAAAAUUUAAGUGGAAAAAUUGUGGCAAUUAUUCAGGAAGUGAUUACAUUGUAUGGGUAUGUAGAAAAGCUAUGGUUCAUCUAAUGCAGUUUUCUUCAUUGACUAGUACCAGACACUAGGUGUAAAAACCUCUGUUAGUUGAUAGUUAGCUUUAUGCCCUGAAAUGUGAGAUUUAUAUUCUAUGCAUAUUUUUUUCAUCAUUUUCUAUGAGACAUUUUCGUUAUCACAGAACAGUUUUCUGCCAUUAUCUGAUGAGUUCCACAAAUGACUGAAGCCUCAGGUAGAAAAAUACAAGAAAUGUAUUCUUUUUCACUGUUUUCACAUUUAUUGUUUCUAAAUUUUAUGGAGUGCUCUCAUGAUCCUUAUCUGGUGAGGAAUUUAGAUGCAACUUCCCUUCUCUUUGACAUGCUUUGGUUUGUGACAUGCUCUGCCUGAA
This 1421-nucleotide long non-coding RNA is filed under the name Apteryx rowi (Okarito brown kiwi). RNAcentral's name for it is "lncRNA (ENSARWG00000003725.1)". Lineage: Eukaryota; Metazoa; Chordata; Aves; Apterygiformes; Apterygidae. The record is from RNAcentral.